RNAcentral lists this transfer RNA (88 nucleotides) under Lacunisphaera limnophila. RNAcentral describes it as "tRNA-Leu". It matches the Rfam family "tRNA". From Rfam's summary of the family: Transfer RNA (tRNA) molecules are approximately 80 nucleotides in length. Their secondary structure includes four short double-helical elements and three loops (D, anti-codon, and T loops). Lineage: Bacteria; Pseudomonadati; Verrucomicrobiota; Opitutia; Opitutales; Opitutaceae. The record is from RNAcentral. RNAcentral also lists the same sequence under 4 other names.
GCCCGGGUGGCGGAAUUGGCAGACGCAGUGGACUCAAAAUCCACCGACCUCUAAAGUCUUGUGGGUUCGACCCCCACCCCGGGCACCA